AGAGUUUGAUCCUGGCUCAGGACGAACGCUGGCGGCGUGCCUAAUGCAUGCAAGUCGCACGGGCUGCCUUCGGGCAGUCAGUGGCGCACGGCUGAGGAACACGUGGGAACGUGCCCUCCAGUGGGGGACAACACCGCGAAAGCGGUGCUAAUCCCGCAUACGCUCUCCUUCCGGGGAGGAAAGCAGCGAUGCGCUGGAGGAGCGGCCCGCGGCCCAUCAGGUUGUUGGCGGGGUAACGGCCCACCAAGCCGCUGACGGGUAGCUGGUCUGUGAGGACAACCAGCCAGACUGGGACUGCGACACGGCCCAGACUCCUACGGGAGGCAGCAGCAAGGAAUUUUCGGCAAUGAGCGCAAGCCUGACCGAGCAACGCCGCGUGGAGGAUGACGGCCUUCGGGUUGUAAACUCCUUUUCGGGGGGACGACACUGACGGUACCCCCGGAAUAAGGCUCGGCUAACUCUGUGCCAGCAGCCGCGGUAAGACAGAGGAGCCAAGCGUUGUCCGGAUUGACUGGGCGUAAAGCGCACGCAGGCGGGUGCGCGCGUGGGGUGUGAAAGCUGGUCGCUUAACGACCAGUCGCCACCUCAUACGGCGUGCCUUGAGCCCGUGAGAGGUCCGUGGAAUUGCCGGUGUAGUGGUGAAAUGCGUAGAGAUCGGCAGGAACACCCAGGGGGAAACCAGCGGACUGGCACGGUGCUGACGCUCAGGUGCGACAGCGUGGGGAGUGAACUGGAUUAGAUACCCAGGUAAUCCACGCCGUAAACGAUGGAUACUCGCGCUCUGGCGGUUCAAUGCCGUUGGGGCGCCCAGCUAACGCGAUAAGUAUCCCGCCUGGGAACUACGAGCGCAAGCUUAAAACUCAAAGGAAUUAACGGGGGCCCGCACAAGCAGCGGAGCGUGUGGUUUAAUUCGACCACGCGAAGCACCUCACCCAGGUUGGACAUGGCACUGCAAGCCCGUGAAAGCGGGUCGCCUUCGAGGGUGUGCCACCGGUGCUGCAUGGCUGUCGUCAGCUCGUGUCGUGAGAUGUUGGGUUAAGUCCCGCAACGAGCGCAACCCCUACGGCCAGUUACUUGUGUCUGGCUGGACUGCCCAUUUCGGGAGGAAGGCGGGGAUGACGUCAAGUCCGCAUGGCCCUUACGCCUGGGGCGACACACACGCUACAAUGCCGCCGGCAGCGCGCUUGCCACACCGCAAGGUGGAGCCAAUCGCCAAGCGGCGUCCCAGUGCAGAUUGGGGGCUGCAACUCGCCCCCAUGAAGGUGGAGUUGCUAGUAACCGCGUAUCAGCCAUGGCGCGGUGAAUGCGUACCCGGGCCUUGUACACACCGCCCGUCACGUCAUGGGAGUGGUCAAGGCGUGAAGUCCGUGGGCCAACCUCCGCAAGGGGGAGGCAGCGGCCGAGCGCCGGGGCCGCGACUGGGACGAAGUCGUAACAAGGUA
This 1442-nucleotide ribosomal RNA is filed under the name metagenome. RNAcentral describes it as "bacterial SSU rRNA". It matches the Rfam family "Bacterial small subunit ribosomal RNA". The record is from RNAcentral.